GAUAUGGCUCAGGAUGAACGCUAGCGACAGGCUUAACACAUGCAAGUCGAGGGGCGAGCGGGGAGUAGCAAUACUUCGCCGGCGACCGGCGCACGGGUGAGUAACACGUGUGCAACCAACCCCGUACCGGGAGAUAACCCGCGGAAACGUGGACUAACAUCCCAUGACAACUCGAGAGCCGCAUGGCUCUAGAUUUAAAAUUCCGGUGGUACGGGACGGGCACGCGCGACAUUAGGUAGUUGGCGGGGUAACGGCCCACCAAG
This 263-nucleotide ribosomal RNA is filed under the name uncultured bacterium. Its description in RNAcentral is "partial 16S ribosomal RNA". It matches the Rfam family "Bacterial small subunit ribosomal RNA", at positions 15 to 272 of the family's 1533-position model. The record is from RNAcentral.